CUUGAUCGAGCCCAGCAGGGCGGGCCGAUCCGCGGCGCGGUCCCGGCCGUAGGUCGCCAGCAGCGCCUGCGCCUC
RNAcentral lists this antisense RNA (75 nucleotides) under Actinocorallia herbida. RNAcentral describes it as "ASpks TB sRNA". It matches the Rfam family "ASpks TB sRNA". Lineage: Bacteria; Bacillati; Actinomycetota; Actinomycetes; Streptosporangiales; Thermomonosporaceae. The record is from Rfam by way of RNAcentral.